GACGAACGCUGGCGGCGUGCUUAACACAUGCAAGUCGAACGGAAAGGCCCUGCUUUUGUGGGGUGCUCGAGUGGCGAACGGGUGAGUAACACGUUAGUAACCUGCCCUUGACUUUGGGAUAACUUCAGGAAACUGGGGCUAAUACCGGAUAGGAGCUCCUGCUGAAUGGUGGGGGUUGGAAAGUUUCGGCGGUUGGGGAGGGACUCGCGGCUCAUCAGCUUGUUGGGUUGGUAGUGGCUUACCAAGGUUUUGAAGGGUAGCCUGCCUGAGAGGGUGACCGGCCACAUUGGGACUGAGAUGCGGCACGGACUCCUACGGGAGGCAGCAGUGGGGAAUAUUGCACAAUGGGCGGAAGCCUGAUGCAGCAACGCCGCGUGCGGGAUGACGGCCUGCGGGUUGGAAACCGCUUUCGCCUGUGACGAAGCGAGAGUGACGGUAAUGGGUAAAGAAGCACCGGCUAACUACGUG
RNAcentral lists this ribosomal RNA (468 nucleotides) under uncultured bacterium. RNAcentral describes it as "partial 16S ribosomal RNA". It matches the Rfam family "Bacterial small subunit ribosomal RNA", at positions 28 to 507 of the family's 1533-position model. The record is from RNAcentral.